RNAcentral lists this long non-coding RNA (1857 nucleotides) under Equus caballus (horse). RNAcentral's name for it is "lncRNA (ENSECAG00000056852.1)". Lineage: Eukaryota; Metazoa; Chordata; Mammalia; Perissodactyla; Equidae. The record is from RNAcentral.
CCUUACCAAUGGGGCAGGGUGGUGCAGUGGGCAUCGCCUCAGGCUCUUGCAGCGGCAGCCAGCCCUGAGUUCAGAUCCCUCUCCUGGAACGUAGAAGCUGUGUAGCCUUGGGCAAGCUACUUUAGUUCUUUGACCCUGUUUCCUCAUCAGUAGGAGAGAAAUAAUAAUAAUAUCUACCUCCGAGGGAUGCUGUGAGUACCUGAAGAAAUAAAGCGGGUAAAGCUCCUGGAUGGUAAGGAGGAAACUGAAGCUCAGAGGAACGGAGGCAUUUGCCCAAGGUCACGCAGCCAGUCAGCAGCAGAGCAGCAGCCUGAACACAUCGCUCCUGGGCUCGGUCCUGCGCGGGGACAGGACAAGAAAGCCGCUCACGGGGACUCCUCUCAGAGACCAGCGUGGUCAGAGGAAGCCUUUGAAAAGUUUGUUGGCGUUGGGUAAAGGGCAGAAGCCCCAAGGGACACGCAAGCCCAUCUCAUAAACCGCCUUCUAAGGAGAGGUUUUGUUUUGCUAACUUCGGGGCCAGAGGAGAAGCCAACCAGACGGCUCCCGCACCCCUUUCUCCACCCUGUCCGUUGCAGGCCCAGUCCCUGCUCUAAAUUAACAUGGAGCACACCUUUGAAGAGUGCUGGUUUGAUCUGUUAGCCAGUCUGGGUCACCAAUAGGCUUGAUGAGGUCCCCCCUAGAAACUUAUCCCCCAACAUCUGUGCUCGCUUCUUCCUUUAGUAAUAAAACCACACAUGGCCAUCCAGAAUAGAGAGUACACUUCAUUGCAGCCAAGAGUGAUGACUACCAUAUGAUUACCCUCCAGCCAAUGGGAUACAGUACAAGAAGAGGCUUUCCAAGGCACUGACGUCUUAGCAAAUGAAGCUGAGACCAUCACAAGAUCCUAGACGCCAAGCCUUCUGCCAUGACCGCAUGUGACUCUUUGAGAUGUCUUCCUCGGAGGGGCCGGGGGGGAGGCGGAUGUAUUUGCAGUGCAGAUGGAAGAGAGGACGGGCGUGUCGCACGGGGCUCAGAAUGAGGAGACACGUGGAGCAGAGCCCAGCAGAACUGCGGUUGCAGCCGCUGACACUCACGAGAGCAAGACAUGCAUGUGUUGUACACCACGGAAACGUUAGGGGAGAAGGAUCAGCUGAGCUGCCGUUUCAGACCCCAGGCCUCCCCAGGGCCCGCUCCUGCGCCUCACGCUGGGAUUGCAACCUCUCUGAGUCAGCCCUGGCAAAGUACUGCUAAACAGCCUGCCUCGGGCCUCCGAAAGAAACCCUCCGCCACCAGAAACCACAAGAGCAGAAAACCCACAGCUUCAGAUGCUUUCGCCGGAGCUCGGAAAACUCACAACAAACGGCAAAUGCGUUGGUGCCGAUCUUAUCGAUGGAUGCCCUUCCUGUAAGACUGGAAAGAGAAAUUGGUCCAGUCUUCAAAGUCUGCCUGCUCUUGCCUGGACCGGACGACCUUGAACUUUCAGGAAGUCGCUGCUGUGUCAGAGGAGCCAGGAAGAUAGAAUUCACUCAGCAAUAUUUACCUCGAACCUGCAAGCUGCAAGACGCUAACAUGGGAAGUGAGAGCUUUUAAAAAGAAGUGUCCACACUCUGCCUUGGCCCCUUUGGUGGAGUGAAAUUCCUCCAUUCCUCCCUUAAUAGAAUGACAUGUCACGUGCCGUUUGCCUCACUCCUCCCUCGAGUGGGCAGAGUAAACUGUCCAGCAGCCUUGCGAUCGUAAGCAAAGGAAAAAGAGGGCAGAGGGAAAAGCUAGAUAGACCUGGUGCCUGAUGGCUGUGGGUCUCCCCCGCCAGCCCUGCGCUGCCCACCAUGAACUGGUUUUAAUGAGCGAGACAAGCAAACCAGUAUGUGCUUGAGUUUC